Molecule: ribosomal RNA, 471 nt
Filed under: uncultured bacterium
Lineage: Bacteria
Description: partial 16S ribosomal RNA
Rfam family: Bacterial small subunit ribosomal RNA
Source: RNAcentral
GACGAACGCUGGCGGCGUGCUUAACACAUGCAAGUCGAACGAUGAAGCGGUGCUUGCACCGUGGAUUAGUGGCGAACGGGUGAGUAAUACGUGAGUGACCUACCUUUGACUCUGGGAUAAGCCUGGGAAACUGGGUCUAAUACCGGAUACGACCAAUCUCUGCAUGGGGUGUUGGUGGAAAGCGUUAUGGAGUGGUUUUAGAUGGGCUCACGGCCUAUUAGCUUGUUGGUGAGGUAAUGGCUUACCAAGGCGACGACGGGUAGCCGGCCUGAGAGGGUGACCGGCCACACUGGGACUGAGACACGGCCCAGACUCCUACGGGAGGCAGCAGUGGGGAAUAUUGCACAAUGGGCGCAAGCCUGAUGCAGCGACGCCGCGUGAGGGAUGACGGCCUUCGGGUUGUAAACCUCUGUUAGCAUCGAAGAAGCGAAAGUGACGGUAGGUGCAGAGAAAGCGCCGGCUAACUACGUG